This 495-nucleotide ribosomal RNA is filed under the name uncultured bacterium. RNAcentral describes it as "bacterial SSU rRNA". It matches the Rfam family "Bacterial small subunit ribosomal RNA", at positions 29 to 517 of the family's 1533-position model. The record is from RNAcentral.
AACGAACGCUGGCGGCGCGCCUAAUACAUGCAAGUCGAGCGAGAAGGUGUAGCAAUACACUUGUAAAGCGGCGAACGGGUGAGGAAUACAUGGGUAAUCUACCAUCGAGUGGGGAAUAACCAACCGAAAGGUUGGCUAAUACCGCGUACGCCUCCGAGUCUUCGGGUUCGGAGGGAAAGCUGCACUGUGAGUGUAGCGCUCUUUGAUGAGCUCAUGUCCUAUCAGCUUGUUGGUAGGGUAACGGCCUACCAAGGCUUUGACGGGUAGCUGGUCUGAGAGGACGAUCAGCCACACUGGCACUGCGACACGGGCCAGACUCCUACGGGAGGCAGCAGUAAGGAAUAUUGCGCAAUGGGCGAAAGCCUGACGCAGCGACGCCGCGUGGGGGAUGAAGGUCUUCGGAUUGUAAACCCCUUUCGGGAGGGAAGAUGGAGCGAGCAAUCGUUCGGACGGUACCUCCAGAAGCAGCCACGGCCAACUUCGUGCCAGCAGCCG